CAGCAGCCACGGGAAUACGUAGGGUGCGAGCGUUAAUCGGAAUUACUGGGCGUAAAGCGUGCGCAGGCGGUUAUGUAAGACAGGUGUGAAAUCCCCGGGCUUAACCUGGGAACUGCGCUUGUGACUGCACAGCUAGAGUAUGGCAGAGGGGGGUGGAAUUCCACGUGUAGCAGUGAAAUGCGUAGAGAUGUGGAGGAACACCGAUGGCGAAGGCAGCCCCCUGGGCCAAUACUGACGCUGAGGCUCGAAAGCGUGGGGAGCAAACAGGAUUAGAGACCCGUGUAGUCCCUGUCUCUUAUAC
This 301-nucleotide ribosomal RNA is filed under the name uncultured bacterium. RNAcentral's name for it is "partial 16S ribosomal RNA". It matches the Rfam family "Bacterial small subunit ribosomal RNA", at positions 509 to 807 of the family's 1533-position model. The record is from RNAcentral.